RNAcentral lists this long non-coding RNA (1196 nucleotides) under Coturnix japonica (Japanese quail). RNAcentral describes it as "lncRNA (ENSCJPG00005008360.1)". Lineage: Eukaryota; Metazoa; Chordata; Aves; Galliformes; Phasianidae. The record is from RNAcentral.
UUGAAAUUACUGGAAGUACAGAUAAAUUCAUAUCUACAGCUGAUAUAAUUCUGUGUUGAUUACAACUUCACAUUAACUCUCCUUAUGAACAUCAUGUCAGUUUAAGCAAGGAGUUUUCAUAAUCUGCAGAACAGCUAGCUUUGUAAAUGCUGCAUAAUUUGCACUGAGGAGCUGAGCUAAACCUACACUCUAUGAGUAGAUCACAGUCAGGAUUGGUCAGGUUUGUGGCUCUGUGUAUGUGUGAGUGGUUUGACUGACUCAGGGAGUUCUGUUUUAAGAUACAGUCACCGAGUUGAGAAAAACGAACAAAUCUCUAAAAGCUGCUGGGGGAAAAUAAAUAAAUAAAUAAAAAUGCCAUUUCUGUUAUCGAUUGUCCCUUAAACUGUGGGUGGCAGUAGUGACCAGGGAGAGGGAAUUCUUGGUAGCCUCCUCCACAGCCCUGACAUCCAGUGAAUGUUUCUGGAGGAGGCAGCACUAAUUGCUGCCCCAAGACUGAAAGGCUGAGCUCACAAUGGAUAAACACAUUAGUUUGUAAAUGAGGGAUUAAGUCAGGAGCCCAUGCUAACAACCCAGUUCAGCAACUCUACAAUCACCACAGUAUGAUGAUAUCAGUGAUGACAAAGUGAAAGAGAUGGAGAUGCCAAGGAGGCUGUCAAGUAGCUCUUCUAAACCACAAAUUUCAACAGAUCGGCUGCAACUUUUGUUCAUGCAAAACAAGUUUUAAUACCGAGAGUUACUACAUGAGCUAAGAACAACCCUGCAUGAUGAGCAUGCUGGAAUGAAAUUCCCAGCACAGGCUGCAUCCUGUCCUGUUGCCACACUCCCUGGUUUCUUUCACCACAAUGCUGCUUGGAACAAAGCUAAAUCUGAACAAAUAAAUAAAUUAACAAUUGUUACAUCUUCCAUGAUUUCACUUUGAAAUUUUUUGUCAAUUAAAACAUGUCUACCAGGGGUGUGUCACACUGUUUCCUGUUUUUAUAUUUCCACUCAGUUUCAAGGAAGCAUGGCCCAUUACAAUAGUUUGUACCAUUAUUCUUUCCUGAGAAGUGAUGAGGGGAAUGUUCGGUGACAAACAAGGAUCAUCAUAUUUCAGUGAUGCAGUGUGGUGAUGGUGUGUUUAGUUCUUCCUUUUAGUUGUCUGCUGAAGAUUAUGAAUUUUUCAGGACAAUAAAGUGUGGAAGCAUAGAUGUUUUCCA